GGGGGGGGGGGGGGGGGGGGGGGGGGGAGGGAGGGGGAAGGGAGGGGGCGUGCGUGUGGGGGGGGCGCGAGUGGCGAACGGGUGAGUAACACGUGAGUAACCUGCGCUUGACUUUGGGAUAACUUCAGGAAACUGGGGCUAAUACCGGAUAGGGGCUCCUGCUGCAUGGUGGGGGUUGGAAAGUUUCGGCGGUUGGGGAUGGACUCGCGGCUUAUCAGCUUGUUGGUGGGGUAGUGGCUUACCAAGGCUUUGACGGGUAGCCGGCCUGAGAGGGUGACCGGCCACAUUGGGACUGAGAUACGGCCCAGACUCCUACGGGAGGCAGCAGUGGGGAAUAUUGCACAAUGGGCGGAAGCCUGAUGCAGCAACGCCGCGUGCGGGAUGACGGCCUUCGGGUUGUAAACCGCUUUCGCCUGUGACGAAGCGUGAGUGACGGUAAUGGGUAAAGAAGCACCGGCUAACUACGUG
This 468-nucleotide ribosomal RNA is filed under the name uncultured bacterium. RNAcentral describes it as "partial 16S ribosomal RNA". It matches the Rfam family "Bacterial small subunit ribosomal RNA", at positions 26 to 507 of the family's 1533-position model. The record is from RNAcentral.